GCACCUGCAAAAUCAGGUGCCGGGAUUGGCGUCCUGAAAGUGUGUGAGCAGCAGUAUGCUGCAGGCUU
This 68-nucleotide small RNA is filed under the name Enterobacter cloacae. RNAcentral's name for it is "isrK". Lineage: Bacteria; Pseudomonadati; Pseudomonadota; Gammaproteobacteria; Enterobacterales; Enterobacteriaceae. The record is from RNAcentral.